AAGCCGCUGUUUGGGGAAUUGCAAACCUCUGAAAACCCGAAUCUGCUGGGUUUGGUCCUGAGCCGCAGGCUGUGGUGCCUGGCUAAGCCGCAUUUGUCGUUUUGGGGAGUGAAAAGCUGAGAAAGGCAGAGAGGGAGCGGGUGAGAAAGGAGGUCACCUUGUGCUUAGGGUGGUUUUCUUCGCUUUUGCUUGUCCUGGGUUAUUUGUGGCUGCGUUUGCCGGCUGCCACAGCUGCUCGUCCGUGUGCUCCUGCAGGGCAGCCCCAGCCUUGGGGAGCCAAAAGUUGUGAUUCUGGGGGCGGAAAACAGAAAGCAAAAGCUGGCUGUGCCAUUUCCAGCCCUCCGUGUCCAUACCCAGCACCAGCUCUUCUGUAGCUUUUCCCAGUCAGCAAUGAGUGGAGAAGCCCUUUCUUGACCCGUUUUGCCUCCACUGAACAGGGCUUUGCUUGGCAGUAGGAAUACGUAGAGAAAUGUUCAGGAUGUGCAACCAUUUUCCCUAGAAGGGAUAGGGGGGUGGGGGAGAUUUCCACGUGCUGCUGGUGGCGUCGGUGUCUCUGCGCCUGGGUUGGCAGUGACGCUGGGGUUAAAAAGCGAUGUUGAAGAAGUGCAGCAGCCUGGAAGUUGUCCCCAGAAGGUAGACACGCGCACACCCCCCCAAAAGGAGAUGCCCAUCUCCUCCGUGGUGCUGAGGCAGCAGCACGUGGAGAGCAAGGGACUGGGCUCCGGUCCUCCAGCGAUGGUUCAGGUUCCGUUGUGAAAGCGCAGCCCAGCAGGAUGGAAAUGGUGCUCUCUUUUUCUCCCCAGCUGCCGUCGCAUCCUCUCCUUUCCCCUCCAGGGAUGUGCAGGUUUUCUCCACGUUGCUCUGAGGGCAGCUUCCCAGCUCUUGUCCCAGCAAGGGGAGGUUCCUGGCCGUGGAGAAGGUCCCUCAGCUGGAAUCAUCCCUGUGAUGGUCCCUGUCCCAGCGCAAGUUUGGGCUGAUUGCAGUGCCACGGCUGGAAAAUCUUCAUGCUCAUGGUGUUUAGACUACGUCGUGGACAGACGAGGAGUUGGUCGUCUCUGGCAAGAGGUCGUUGCGUUUUCCUCCAGUAUCUCGUAGUCUGCUGUCAGAUGGAUUUCUGUGAAGGGAGUGAGACUCUGAGCAAAAACUGCUACAGGUUUUUGGGGCUCUUUGCCCACACGCGGACCCCGUGGAUGGCUUCAGGUCCCGCCAUUUCCCUCCCUCUGCUCACCCCAUCCCCAGACCUGGCCAGCAGCAGGGUUCAGCUCUGCCAGGCCCACCCACAAAGCCCCUCUCUUCCCACCCGGCCUGGAAACCAGCACCCAGCUGCAAACACACACUCUCCUCUCGGGCCAAGAGCAGCCUCCUGCUUUGUUAGGCCUUCUAAAUGCUGCCAAAUAACGUGUGUCUGCA
Non-coding RNA from Anas platyrhynchos (mallard), 1410 nucleotides. The record is from RefSeq and is a predicted model, not a curated record. NCBI's taxonomy places the organism in Eukaryota, Metazoa, Chordata, Aves, Anseriformes, Anatidae.